UUGACGACUAAAGCUGAGCCGGCGCCGCCACGACCUUGGGCGGGUGGUCGGCCUCUGCCCUGAGCAGGAAGUAGAAAGUCUCAGCAGACCCUUCCUGAGGGCCGAGCAACAGUGUAGUGGCGUAUUCCACAUAGCAAACAGGCAGCAUUUCUUCCUGUGACAAUAUGGUGUAAGACAAAAUUGUGGCCUGCCAUGAAGUUGUGAGAGAAAAGCAUCCCUCAUUUCUUCAGGAAAGGCCACUGCCGUUCCCUCCGGCUCCUCUUCUCAGGAGUUUGUGCAUUCAUGAGGUGAAUUCCUUGGAAGAUGAGGGCCAAGUCUUAUUCUUCUCAGUCUCUUCUGCAUCUAGCAGAAGAAUAAUGGUUGCACAGAAAAUCUUGGUUCAGUGGUUGAGUGAAUGAAUGGAUGAACAGGCUCUUGCACACAAAGAAGAGACAUGAUGUAUUUGCAUCCUUCCCUGCUUCAGCCAGUUUUCUGAAGCUCAGAGGGACACCUUGUAUUGCUGGAUGAUAAAAACAGGAGCAAAGUGAUGAAGUGCUGACAAGGCAACAAUAGAACAUGAGAGAUUCACUGCUGUGUAGGAAGAGAUCUUCGGUGACCAUGUAGCCUGAAGCUCUCAUUUUGUCAUCGAGGGACACCAAAACUCAGAACAGAUAGAGUCUUGCUCUGUGACCCAGGCUUGUGUGCAGCGGUACGAUAUUGGCUCACUGCGACCUCCACCUCCCAGGUUCAAGCAAUUCUCCUGCCUCAG
Molecule: long non-coding RNA, 748 nt
Filed under: Homo sapiens (human)
Lineage: Eukaryota; Metazoa; Chordata; Mammalia; Primates; Hominidae
Description: SLC44A3 antisense RNA 1
Source: RNAcentral